UGCGUCACAGUAGAGUAGAUGUCUCUGUAUUAGUGCCAAAAUUAAUCACACAGUCGAACACACGAACCCUCGUAAGGCUCUAUCUCUGUCUAAUAUGUUCCGUUAAAGCUAGAGCCAUAGCAUGAUACACACAAAUGCACGCUCUCUUUUCGGCUCAUAACAAAACAGCAAACUUCGUUCUUCUCCCUCUCCUCCUACAUGACGUCACUGCGUGCUCAUUAAUGCGUAGGGUAAGACCCGAAAGCGAGUUGGUAGCUGCUCACUCCCACUUGCAGCUCUCCUUCGAUCACCCUCGGCAUGCGAAGAUGGAGAACAGAAUAAGAAUGCAAAAUUCCGCCACCGACGCUUCUGUCGCGCUCUCCCUCUCGCAUAUUCAGUUUUUCGUCCGGUCCAAGCACGCGUUUUCGAGUCGGCUCUGCGUUGCGGUCACUGAAAAGCCGAAAAAUAGUGAAAAAUCCUACUGAAAAACUGCCGCGCGCUGUAUAGAAGCGAAUAAACAGUAAAUUUGUCGCAAAGGUCAAGUAAAAGCAAUGUUAUUGCGCGUUAAUUAAUUUUUUUCAUGUGCGAAAUGUGGUUGUUGGCAAUGUAGCCAAGAUCUUCCGUUGUGUUGUUGUGUGCGUGCGUGAAAAUGAAGCAAAAAAGAGCAAAGUUUUUUUCUCUUUCCCACCAAAGGCGCAAGGAAGCAGAAUAAAGCAACGAGCGCUCAAUAGUAGAAGGUAAAAGGAAUUCCGAAUCUCUCUGGCGCUUGCUUUGUGCAUUCAAAGUAGAAUUCCAGGCACAGUUCCGAGUGCAUAUGCGUGCGUGUGCCGGGUUAAGAGCCCAGCGCAUGUACAGUGGAGCCUCGCGUUCCAGAGGCGCGCUGUAAGAGGGAGACAGAGGGAUAGUAACGGAACCUGCCUCACGUUGAACGGCACAGAUCUAGGCAGAGCAACGCGAGGCAGAGAAGCGUCACUGACCUAACACACACGUGAGGCAGGCACAGGCCGUAGCGGUGGCGGCGGCGGCGGCAGCGGCAGCGGCGUCACAAAAAUAGCACGAAAAGGAGCCCCCGCAGCGGAAAUUUCCCUCUCGGCAGAAACGACGCCAAGAGUGAGACGAUGACAGCGCCGACGAAGACGUCGACAACGAAGACAAGGAAGACGAAGGCGCGCCGCUGGAGCCGACCGGCCGAAUGGAUGAUGUUGCGGCAACAAGCACCCAGCAGCCAGCCAUUCGUGGCCCGAGCGAAGCACUCGUAUGGCCUCGUGCCCGAUGCACGAGAUGCGUCCCAGUGCCGACUGCCGCGGCGGGCACCCAGCUUCCAGCGACUGCUUCUGGUUCUGGUUCUAGUUCUGGUUCUGGUUCAGUCUUUUCGCGACUUUCAUCUGCUCCGGUCCGGUCCACAGGCGACAGCGAGGCGACGGCCGAACGCAACGCGCCAAAAGGGCGAGAACUUUGUCGAGAUUUUUUCGCGGAGAGAGUGCCAAUAAAUAAUAUUUCCCCAAAAAUCCCAUCCAUUUCUAGUUUUGGUUUUUUUUUGCGUAAAAUAAUCGUGCAAGCGUGUACCACCCGUGUGGGUCUGUUUUUUUAUGCGGUUUUUUUUUGUUUUAUAAUCGCGAUUUGCGUGUGAAAAACAGUGGAAAACGUCGAGAUUUUAGAGUUGCUUAAAACUAGGGAAAUUGUAGAAGGAACUUGGCGAGGAGAAGAGACAAAUCGUAGGAGAAGGGAGAGAAAUUAGUGAAAUGCUGAGAGGAACAGACUGCUGAAAGCAGUACGAAUCCAAGAAGAAUCAAACUUAACCCCAGAGCUUAAAGCAGUGCAAACAACUCGUAGAUAAGAUCACAGCAGAAAGCAGUGCGGACCGUAGAUCAAAACAUAAACGCAAGCAGUGCACAGCAUAGAUCCAAACUGAGCUGCAAGCAGUGUAAAUCGUUGAUAGCAAACAUUGCAGAAAGCAGUGCAAAAACAAACAUCAUAAAACCGUGCAAAUCCGAAGAAAAUCGCCAGACGCCCAGAGGGAAAACCCCCAAAAAUCAGUGCACGCGAGGCAGCCUCCAAAACACGUGCCUCGCCGCCCGCCACACGUUCGUCUCCCGGAGUGUCCGAGCCAGAGGAAGAGCCCGAAACGAGUGUCUGAGGUAAUUGAAUAAACGA
This 2133-nucleotide small RNA is filed under the name Drosophila pseudoobscura pseudoobscura. RNAcentral describes it as "GA32081". The record is from RNAcentral. Lineage: Eukaryota; Metazoa; Arthropoda; Insecta; Diptera; Drosophilidae.